This 1149-nucleotide long non-coding RNA is filed under the name Parus major (Great Tit). RNAcentral describes it as "lncRNA (ENSPMJG00000002046.1)". Lineage: Eukaryota; Metazoa; Chordata; Aves; Passeriformes; Paridae. The record is from RNAcentral.
CGAGCCGCAGGGACCAGGCUGGGGACAGGGACAGGGACAAUGUGUCACCCUGUGUCACCCCUGUGUCACCUCUGUGUCACCCCUGUGUCACCCUGAGUGUCACCCUGAGUGUCACCCACCCCAUCAAUGUCACCUCCUGUCACCCUGUGUCACCUCAGUGUCACCCCAGUGUCACCCUGUGUCACCCUGAGUGUCACCCACCCCAUCAAUGUCACCUCUGUGUCACCUCUGUGUCACCCCUGUGUCACCCCUGUGUCACCCUGAGUGUCACCUCAGUGUCACCCACCCCAUCAAUGUCACCUCUGUGUCACCCCUGAACGCCCUCGAGCCGCAGGGACCAGGCUGGGGACAGGGACAAUGUGUCACCCUGUGUCACCUCUGUGUCAUCUCUGUGUCACCCCUGUGUCACCCCUGUGUCACCUCAGUGCCACCUGUGUCACCCUGAGUGUCACCCACCCCAUCAAUGUCACCUCAGUGUCACCCCUGGGUCACUUCAGUGUCACCUCAGUGCCACCUGUGUCACCCACCCACCCCAUCAGUGUCACCUCCUGUCACCCCAGUGUCACCCCCAGCACCCUCCAGCUGCAGGCACCAGGCUGGGGACAGCAAUGACGUCACCCCUGGGGCCACCCUGGUGUCACGCCCCCAGCCCCCCAGAGUCCCGGGUGAUCUCACCGGUGAUGUCCCCAAUGUCCCCAGUGAUGUCCCCAGUGCCAUCCCCAAUGUCCCCAAUGCCAACCCCGGUGUCCCCAGUGUCCCCAGUGCCACCCCCGGUGUCCCCAGUGUCCCAGUGCCAUCCCCAGUGGUGUCCCCAGUGUCCCCAGUGAUGUCCCCGGUGUCCCCAGUGAUGUCCCCAGUGCCACCCCCGGUGUCCCCGGUGUCCCCUCACCGAUGCCCAGCUGUCUCUCGGAGCACCCCAACUUCUGGGCCAGCGGCUGCAGCUCCCCCGGAGCCACCGGGCAGCGGGGCCGGCCCUGGGGACACAGCGGGGACAUUUGGGGACAUCUGGGGACAUUUGGGGACACCGGGGACAUUUGGGGACCCCCGGGUGACCCGGGGCUACCUUGGCCGGGGCGUUUCCGGGGGUCUCCUCAUCCAGGGGGGGCCCGGGGGCCAGUGGGGACCAGGUGACAGCGCCCAGGCCUGGGG